GCGCACUUAGCUCAGUGGUAGAGCAGUCGUCUUAUACACGACCGGUCCCUGGUUCGAUCCCAGGAGUGCGCACUA
RNAcentral lists this transfer RNA (75 nucleotides) under Candidatus Harrisonbacteria bacterium CG10_big_fil_rev_8_21_14_0_10_38_8. Its description in RNAcentral is "tRNA-Ile". It matches the Rfam family "tRNA". Rfam says of the family: Transfer RNA (tRNA) molecules are approximately 80 nucleotides in length. Their secondary structure includes four short double-helical elements and three loops (D, anti-codon, and T loops). The record is from RNAcentral. Lineage: Bacteria; Candidatus Harrisoniibacteriota.